Molecule: ribosomal RNA, 460 nt
Filed under: uncultured bacterium
Lineage: Bacteria
Description: partial 16S ribosomal RNA
Rfam family: Bacterial small subunit ribosomal RNA
Source: RNAcentral
CCUACGGGCGGCAGCAGUGAGGAAUAUUGGUCAAUGGACGAGAGUCUGAACCAGCCAAGUAGCGUGAAGGAUGACUGCCCUAUGGGUUGUAAACUUCUUUUAUAUGGGAAUAAAAUGUUCCACGUGUGGGAUUUUGUAUGUACCAUAUGAAUAAGGAUCGGCUAACUCCGUGCCAGCAGCCGCGGUAAUACGGAGGAUCCGAGCGUUAUCCGGAUUUAUUGGGUUUAAAGGGAGCGUAGGUGGAUUGUUAAGUCAGUUGUGAAAGUUUGCGGCUCAACCGUAAAAUUGCAGUUGAAACUGGCAGUCUUGAGUACAGUAGAGGUGGGCGGAAGUCGUGGUGUAGCGGUGAAAUGCUUAGAUAUCACGAAGAACUCCGAUUGAGAAGGCAGUUCACUGGACUGCAACUGACACUGAGGCUCGAAAGUGUGGGUAUCAAACAGGAUUAGAUACCCGGGUAGUC